GCGCCCGUAGCUCAGCUGGAUAGAGCGCUGGAUUUCUAAUCCGGUGGUCGGGGGUUCGAGUCCCUCCGGGCGUGCCA
RNAcentral lists this transfer RNA (77 nucleotides) under Myxococcales bacterium. Its description in RNAcentral is "tRNA-Arg". It matches the Rfam family "tRNA". Rfam says of the family: Transfer RNA (tRNA) molecules are approximately 80 nucleotides in length. Their secondary structure includes four short double-helical elements and three loops (D, anti-codon, and T loops). RNAcentral also lists the same sequence under 1 other name. Lineage: Bacteria; Pseudomonadati; Myxococcota; Myxococcia; Myxococcales. The record is from RNAcentral.